This 72-nucleotide transfer RNA is filed under the name Leuconostoc mesenteroides. RNAcentral's name for it is "tRNA-Asn". It matches the Rfam family "tRNA". Rfam says of the family: Transfer RNA (tRNA) molecules are approximately 80 nucleotides in length. Lineage: Bacteria; Bacillati; Bacillota; Bacilli; Lactobacillales; Lactobacillaceae. The record is from RNAcentral.
UGCUCCAUAGUUCAGUGGUAGAAUAACGCAUUGUUAAUGCGCAGGUCCUUGGUUCGAAUCCAAGUGGAGCAG